Molecule: transfer-messenger RNA, 354 nt
Filed under: bacterium
Lineage: Bacteria
Also listed under: 1 other name
Description: BMS3Abin05 sp002898015 Standard tmRNA
Rfam family: transfer-messenger RNA
About the family: Bacterial tmRNA, also known as 10Sa RNA or SsrA, is named for its dual tRNA and mRNA-like properties.
Source: RNAcentral
GGGGGCGCUUUGGGUUCGACGGGAUUGGAAAGAGGCAAAAACUGCGUACCGUGGUCUCCGGCACCACGUAAAAUAGUCGGGAACUAAAUAUAAAUGCAGAUUACAAUUACGCAUUGGCCGCUUAAUUAGCGGUCACGUUUCUCUAAUCGAGACCUGCAUAAAUUAGAAGAAACGCCGCUUUUGCAGGUGCAGCCGGCAAUUUUCCGGGGUUGCCGGAAUAAGUUUUCCGGAUAGGCUUUUGAAUGGCUUUGUCUAUUGGGGCAUUCAAAAGCGACAUUGACCAAUAGACUAUGUAUGUAGAUGUUUUUGUCGGCUCUUUCUCGGACGCGGGUUCGAUUCCCGCCGCCUCCACAA